RNAcentral lists this transfer RNA (73 nucleotides) under Chloroflexota bacterium. RNAcentral's name for it is "Chloroflexi bacterium (sediment metagenome) tRNA-Gly". It matches the Rfam family "tRNA". Rfam says of the family: Transfer RNA (tRNA) molecules are approximately 80 nucleotides in length. Lineage: Bacteria; Bacillati; Chloroflexota. RNAcentral also lists the same sequence under 1 other name. The record is from RNAcentral.
GCGGGAGUAACUCAGUUGGUAGAGUGCCUGCCUUCCAAGCAGAUAGUCGCGGGUUCGAGUCCCGUCUCCCGCU